This 3926-nucleotide long non-coding RNA is filed under the name Citrus maxima (pomelo). RNAcentral describes it as "long non-coding RNA (CMAX_LNC002191)". Lineage: Eukaryota; Viridiplantae; Streptophyta; Magnoliopsida; Sapindales; Rutaceae. The record is from RNAcentral.
UUUUAAUUUAGUCGUAUGGAUUCAUAUGGAGACUCACAUACCACUAGAAUAUGUGGCUUACAUAUAUGCUACAUGCAUCUCCCUUGUUUAUGAGUUCUGCAUUCGCCAAGGAGAAUUAGUGGUUAUAACAAAACAUGAUCCUAUCAUCGGGAAGUCUCCAAGUUCGAAACCCUCUCUUCUUAAACUAAUGGUGUUAUCGAAGUCGCUAAUGCAAUGUCCUUAAAAGCUCUGUAUGUAAGUAGUUUUUCUGCAUAUUUGUGAUAUAUAAAUUCUGUUGUUUGUGUGAUCUUCUGUUCGUGAUGUAAAAAUUUCGGUUUCUUUUUCUCUUCUGUACCCUAUUCUUCGGUUCUACAUAUUGUUUGUGCAUUGGUUUGGAUGUCAGUGUGAUCAAGAGACAAGAACUUUCAUUUUUGAAGAUGAAUAACAGAUAUUUGUCACAGUAAUGUGAUUACUGCAGUGAUUCAACACAUUACUGUUGCUAUUGAAGUUCAUUUUAAUGUCCAACAAAUCAAAUGGAAGCAUGGUUUGUCUCUCAAAUCAUGUCGAACAUGAAAAUUACAUGAUGGAACUUAAUGGAAAUGAAGCAUGUCGUAACACCCGUUCCUUGUUUGUUUGAAUUUAUUUAUGUUUAUCUAUUUAAUUAUUUAUGUGUGAAUUUGUUUUAAUUAGCAUUAUUUGAAAUAAUGUAUAAUUCUAUUUAUUUUUUUUAAAAUAAAUUAUAAGGGAUUAUCUAUCUUUAUCAUAUUAUAUAUAUAUUUUUUCGGCAAAACUCAGUGAGGACACUGACUCUCUAAGCGGGUGUAUGUAACACUCUAGACAAAUCCCACAUCAACAAAGCACGGGAGAGAUUCUAGGUUUAUAAGGGGUGAUCCGCACUUUGAUUAGUAAGACGCAUUUUGGAGAGUAUGAAUGCCCUAUAAACAAAACCGUGUGGGUCUUGUUAAGGCCCAAAACGGAAAAUAUCUUGUUAGGUCUGGAUUGAGUCAUGACAUAUGGUAUUAGAGUGGCUCUGCGUGUCCGUUUGAACAAUAGUGGGGUAAACCUCAACGUAACCUCAGUGAGGACGCUGAAUCCCUAAGGAGGGGUGUAUGUAACACCCUAGGUAAAUCCCAUCCAACAUCGACAAAGCACGGGAGAGAUGUUGGGUUUAUAAGGAGUGAUCAACAUCUUAAUUUGUAAGACGUGUUUUGAGGUGUUUAGGUGCGUUUUGGGAUGUAUUGGCAAGACUUUUUUUGGGGGGAAGAGGUAACCUUAGUGAGGACAUUAAGUUCUUAAGGGGGUAUAUGUAACACCUUAGGCAAAUAUCACAUCGACAAAGCACGAGAGAGAUAUUAGAUUUAUAAAUGAUGACUCACACCUUAAUUGACAAGUCACGUUUUGGGGUAUAUAGGCACCCUAGAAACAAAAUCAUGCGGGCCUUAUUAAGGCUUGCCAAGUCUGGGUUGGGCCAUGACAGAUGAUAUUAAAGUGGCUUUGCAUGUCCAUUUGAAUAAUAGUGGGGCAAACCUCAGCGAGGACGCUGAGUCCCUAAGGGGGGUGUAAGCAAAUUUCAUCCCACAUCGACAAAUCAUGGCAGAGGUGUUGGGUUUAUAAGGAUGAUUUACAUCUUAAUUGACAAGACGCAUUUUUGGGUGUAUGGAUGCAUUUUGGGGUGUAUUGGUAGGACAAUUUUUUUUUUUUGACAAACCUUAGCGAGGAUGCUGAGUUCCUAAGGGGGUGUAUGCAUUUUGGGGUGUAUUGGCAAGACAAUUUUUUUUUUUAACAAACCUUAGCGAGGAUGCUGAGUUCCUAAGGGGGUGUAUGUAACACCUUAGACAAAUCCCACAUCGAUAAAACAUGGGAGAGAUGUUGGGUUUAUAAGGAGUGAUCUACACUUUAAUUGGCAAAAUGCGUCUUGAGGUGUAUAGGUGCUCCAAAAACAAACCCGUGCAGGCCUUGUUAAAGUCCAAAUCAGACAUACCUUACCAAGUUUGAGUUAGGUCAUGACAAAUGAUAUCAGAGCGGCUUCGUGUGUCCUCUUGAACGAUGGUGGGGGCAAACCUCAAUGAGAACGCUAAGUUUCUAAGGAGGGGGGUGUAUGUAACAUCUUAGAUAAAUUCUACAUCGACAAAGCACGGGAAAUAUACUGGGUUUGUAAGGGGUGACCCACACCUUAAUUGCCAAGACGCGUUUUGAGAUGUAUGGACGCCCCAAAACAAAACUAUAUAGGCCUUGUUACGAUUCAGAGUGAACCACAUCUUGUCAGGUCUAGAUUGGACCAAGACACAUGCUAUGCAAGUGAAUAUGUGUGAUCAUCAUUUCCCUAAUGUCGGAAAAUGAUCAAGAAAUCCAUCAUCAGAUUGACAAAUUAGGACCUAAAGUUAGAACAAAGAAAAAGAGGAGGACAGGGAUAUGAAAGAAGGGAAACUGACAUUUAGCACGAUUAUCAAAAACCACGAAUGGUAGCACAUAGUUAGAAAGCUCUUACACUUCAAAAGGAUUGAAGGAAAGAAAGACUAUAGCUUAUAAAAAUUCCUUGUAUGACGAGCUUCGGCUUGUGGUCAUGCUGGAGCUAUCAGGAACAAGAUAUAUUGUUUUCAACUCUUGUAAACAUGACCAGGCAUGGAACCUUGUUCAUGAUUGAAGACUGCAGAAUCUUUCAAGGACCGUCUUGCUGGAUAUGGAAGUGAAAAUGCAGGCUGUAGAAUGAUUAGCAGUUCCCCAAUGCAAACAUCUGCACAUUAUAAAAUUCAGAUUUGGUGCUAUAACACUUUGGAUUACUGUAAUUUGACACUAUAUUAUAGUCAUUGUAUACGGCCAACUCUAGAUUUUAUAACAUGCAGACAUCAGUGAUGGAGGACUCGGAGAAUGAUAGUCCAAGAAUUCCCAGCAAAGGUACUCAGGAGUUUCAGGAGUUAAAACUGGUUGUAAGUUCAGUAUUUUCAUGUCUAGAGGCAAAAGGCUUUAAGAUGCAAGUUCACCACUAUUCACAAUCACUGCUAGAAGUCAAUAACUUUAUUCUAAUGACGAAAAGGAAAACUAAAAUUCGUAACAAAUUUCCCCCCACAUAACCCUGUUGGAAUGAUAAAUAAGUCUGAUAGUUAUUAUGCUGUCAUGAAUGGAAAUGAACACAGGAUUGUUGUAUACUUGUAUAUAGAAACUCGACCUUCCUUGCAUAAUUCUCAAACCACAUUAAGAUCAAAUUAUCAGACAAUUGGAACAGUGGCAGAAGAGAGAUAAGAUAAAGAAAUCUCGGAACAUUAUCAUUUUGUCAGUAAAAAGAAUGAUAUCCAUAUCUACAAUAAACAGUUGACUACAUGCUGCUGGGACAUAUAACUCUUUAAAAGCCACAUUAUUUCUAAGGACUGAGUCAAAUAAAUGUACAAGAACCAGAAAAGAUUUCAGUGUCCUAAACAUACCAAAUUCUGUGCAAACUCCUGUCGUUCUGUCCUGUUAUUAGAAUUCAGAUUGCUACUCUAAAUAAAGGAACCAACAUGAAUUUUUCUGUCAUCCAAUUAAAAUUAUCAGAACUGCCUGUCACUCGAAAACUGCACAAAUAAGCAAGCAUUUAAUCACUCCUCUUAAAACAACAAUUUCAUAAUGUAGCACUUUAACGUAAAGUUAAUGCAGUCACCAAUGUAUACUCACAGGCUGGAUUACUAGAUUCAUUCUCAUUUUUUCUGGAUGAAUUGUAAGUUACAGGACCAUUAACUUCCGAGGCUUGACAAUUAUCCUGCACCGCAGCUGGCUCUGCAGAACCUUCAUUUGUUGCUUCGCACUGAAAUUGGAAAUAAUGUAAGUUAGAUUAGAUCCAGGAAGACUAAAAGCAGAAGAAAAAAGGAUUCAAAUAUCCAGGUAGUAGGUUUUCCUGAUAUCCAUGUAUUAGUGAUAUCAAGGAGUUAUUGCUUGUGCAAUUGACAUUCCAUCCUAGAAGAGGGUAAUAUCGA